UGCAGAGCUGGAGGCGCUGCGAUUGGAGAAGCAGAGCUCACAUGACCAACUGCUGGAGGCCAAGGAGAGUCUGAAGCAGCAGCAACACAAGUUAUCAGAGCUGAUGGAGAUGAGUCAGCGGAAAGACGACGUCAUCAACAAGCUGAAGAACGAGAGCAACGCCGACAGGGCUCUGGUGGAGCUUCUGAGGACGACGAGAGGAGAGGAGGAGAAGGAGGAGAACAGGAAAUGC
Molecule: long non-coding RNA, 232 nt
Organism: Anarrhichthys ocellatus (wolf-eel)
Lineage: Eukaryota; Metazoa; Chordata; Actinopteri; Perciformes; Anarhichadidae
Exons: 3
Source: RefSeq, a predicted model, not a curated record